CACACGACCUCUAGAAUAAGAGACAGACUUGUGUUUCUUCAGUAAAGAUUGAUAACCAUCAUCACAGGUUAAUGAACCGUACACACACACAUAGAGAACAACAAUUUCACAGUCUGGCUAUGGUUGUACCUGUGCAUACUGCUCUGAUAGUCCACUCUCCCUUUUCAUUGCAUGUAGUUACUGCUGAUUCCUGAUUGUUAGAAAUC
Molecule: long non-coding RNA, 206 nt
Organism: Etheostoma cragini (Arkansas darter)
Lineage: Eukaryota; Metazoa; Chordata; Actinopteri; Perciformes; Percidae
Exons: 2
Source: RefSeq, a predicted model, not a curated record